This 217-nucleotide long non-coding RNA is filed under the name Capsicum annuum. RNAcentral's name for it is "long non-coding RNA (CANN_LNC013652)". Lineage: Eukaryota; Viridiplantae; Streptophyta; Magnoliopsida; Solanales; Solanaceae. The record is from RNAcentral.
AAUAAUGCCGACCCUUGCAACUACAAUUUCCUAGGUCACCUCUAGAAUACAAACCAUCAGAAUCUAGGUCAUCUCAAUCAUUCUCUUCUCCUUCCCCAUUUUAUAAACAACAAUCCCCUCCAAAAAACACAACAAAUGACCAAAACCCUAUUCUCCUCCCACCACCACCUAAAGAAAAUGACAACUGUCAUUCAAGUACCCGGCAACCCUACUGAAU